UGCCAGACUCCUACGGGAGGCAGCAGUGGGGAAUAUUGCACAAUGGGGGAAACCCUGAUGCAGCGACGCCGCGUGAGCGAUGAAGUAUUUCGGUAUGUAAAGCUCUAUCAGCAGGGAAGAAAAUGACGGUACCUGACUAAGAAGCCCCGGCUAACUACGUGCCAGCAGCCGCGGUAAUACGUAGGGGGCAAGCGUUAUCCGGAUUUACUGGGUGUAAAGGGAGCGUAGACGGCAAUGCAAGCCAGAUGUGAAAGCCCGGGGCUCAACCCCGGGACUGCAUUUGGAACUGUGUAGCUGGAGUGUCGGAGAGGCAGGCGGAAUUCCUAGUGUAGCGGUGAAAUGCGUAGAUAUUAGGAGGAACACCAGUGGCGAAGGCGGCCUGCUGGACGAUGACUGACGUUGAGGCUCGAAAGCGUGGGGAGCAAACAGGAUUAGAUACCCUAGUACA
RNAcentral lists this ribosomal RNA (448 nucleotides) under uncultured bacterium. RNAcentral's name for it is "bacterial SSU rRNA". It matches the Rfam family "Bacterial small subunit ribosomal RNA", at positions 329 to 794 of the family's 1533-position model. The record is from RNAcentral.